ACUCAAAGGAAUUGACGGGGGCCCGCACAAGCGGAGGAACAUGUGGUUUAAUUCGAUGAUACGCGAGGAACCUUACCCGGGCUAGAACGCAGAAGGAAUAUUUGGGAAACUGGAUAGCCGCAAGGUCUUCUGCGAGGUGCUGCAUGGUUGUCGUCAGCUCGUGCCGUGAGGUGUCGGCUUAAGUGCCAUAACGAGCGCAACCCUUAUUGUUAGUUGCCAGCGAUUCAAGUCGGGGACUCUAGCAAAACUGCCUGCGUAAGCUGUGAGGAAGGUGGGGAUGACGUCAAAUCAGCACGGCCCUUACGUCCGGGGCGACACACGUGUUACAAUGGGGGGUACAGAGGGUAGCUACCACGCGAGUGGAUGCCAAUCUUUAAAUCCUCUCUCAGUUCGGAUCGAAGUCUGCAACUCGACUUCGUGAAGCUGGAUUCGCUAGUAAUCGCGCAUCAGCCAUGGCGCGGUGAAUACGUUCCCGGGCCUUGUACACACCGCCCGU
This 496-nucleotide ribosomal RNA is filed under the name uncultured bacterium. Its description in RNAcentral is "bacterial SSU rRNA". It matches the Rfam family "Bacterial small subunit ribosomal RNA", at positions 899 to 1397 of the family's 1533-position model. The record is from RNAcentral.